This 75-nucleotide transfer RNA is filed under the name Gammaproteobacteria bacterium. RNAcentral describes it as "tRNA-Val". It matches the Rfam family "tRNA". From Rfam's summary of the family: Transfer RNA (tRNA) molecules are approximately 80 nucleotides in length. Their secondary structure includes four short double-helical elements and three loops (D, anti-codon, and T loops). Further hydrogen bonds mediate the characteristic L-shaped molecular structure. tRNAs have two regions of fundamental functional importance: the anti-codon, which is responsible for specific mRNA codon recognition, and the 3' end, to which the tRNAs corresponding amino acid is attached (by aminoacyl-tRNA synthetases). tRNAs cope with the degeneracy of the genetic code in two manners: having more than one tRNA (with a specific anti-codon) for a particular amino acid; and 'wobble' base-pairing, i.e. permitting non-standard base-pairing at the 3rd anti-codon position. RNAcentral also lists the same sequence under 1 other name. The record is from RNAcentral. Lineage: Bacteria; Pseudomonadati; Pseudomonadota; Gammaproteobacteria.
GGGCGCGUAGCUCAGGGGUAGAGCACUGUGUUGACAUCGCAGGGGUCGGCAGUUCGAAACUGCCCGUGCCCACCA